This 247-nucleotide ribosomal RNA is filed under the name uncultured prokaryote. RNAcentral describes it as "partial 16S ribosomal RNA". It matches the Rfam family "Bacterial small subunit ribosomal RNA", at positions 439 to 700 of the family's 1533-position model. The record is from RNAcentral.
UGAGGGACGAAAUUAUUGACGGUACCUCAUGAAUAAGGGGCUCCUAACUCUGUGCCAGCAGGAGCGGUAAUACAGAGGCCCCAAGCAUUAUCCGGAAUCACUGGGCGUAAAGGGUGUCAAGGCGGCUAUAUUAGUCGUUCGUUAAAUCCGUGGGCUCAACCUACGGUCUGCGAGCGAAACGGUAUAGCUAGAGGUCAGGAGAGGUGCAUGGAACUCAUGGUGUAGGGGUGAAAUCCGUUGAUAUCAU